RNAcentral lists this ribosomal RNA (253 nucleotides) under uncultured bacterium. RNAcentral's name for it is "partial 16S ribosomal RNA". It matches the Rfam family "Bacterial small subunit ribosomal RNA", at positions 524 to 776 of the family's 1533-position model. The record is from RNAcentral.
UACGAAGGGUGCAAGCGUUACUCGGAAUUACUGGGCGUAAAGCGUGCGUAGGUGGUUCGUUAAGUCUGAUGUGAAAGCCCUGGGCUCAACCUGGGGAUGGCAUUGGAUACUGGCGAUCUAGAGUGCGGUAGAGGGCAGUGGAAUUCCCGGUGUAGCAGUGAAAUGCGUAGAGAUCGGGAGGAACAUCUGUGGCGAAGGCGACUGCCUGGACCAGCACUGACACUGAGGCACGAAAGCGUGGGGAGCAAACAGG